RNAcentral lists this ribosomal RNA (620 nucleotides) under Marinobacter sp. RNAcentral describes it as "bacterial SSU rRNA". It matches the Rfam family "Bacterial small subunit ribosomal RNA", at positions 58 to 668 of the family's 1533-position model. The record is from RNAcentral. Lineage: Bacteria; Pseudomonadati; Pseudomonadota; Gammaproteobacteria; Pseudomonadales; Marinobacteraceae.
AAAUUCGAGCGGAACGAUGGUAGCUUGCUACCAGGCGUCGAGCGGCGGACCGGUGAGUAAUGCUUAGGAAUCUGCCCAGUAGUGGGGGAUAGCCCGGGGAAACCCGGAUUAAUACCGCAUACGCCCUUUUGGGGAAAGCAGGGGAUCUUCGGACCUUGCGCUAUUGGAUGAGCCUAAGUCGGAUUAGCUAGUUGGUGGGGUAAAGGCUCACCAAGGCGACGAUCCGUAGCUGGUCUGAGAGGAUGAUCAGCCACAUCGGGACUGAGACACGGCCCGAACUCCUACGGGAGGCAGCAGUGGGGAAUAUUGGACAAUGGGGGCAACCCUGAUCCAGCCAUGCCGCGUGUGUGAAGAAGGCUUUCGGGUUGUAAAGCACUUUCAGUGAGGAGGAAGGCCUUAAGAUUAAUACUCUUAAGGAUUGACGUCACUCACAGAAGAAGCACCGGCUAACUCCGUGCCAGCAGCCGCGGUAAUACGGAGGGUGCAAGCGUUAAUCGGAAUUACUGGGCGUAAAGCGCGCGUAGGUGGUUGAGUAAGCGAGAUGUGAAAGCCCCGGGCUUAACCUGGGAACGGCAUUUCGAACUGCUCGACUAGAGUGUGGUAGAGGGUAGACUGUGAUU